CCGCAGCGAUAGCGAGUCUGAUUAGGUCGUUUAGUACGGGGUCGUAGACGCGAAACCAGGUGAUCUUCGCAUGUCCUGUGUGAAGUUCAGGUAACACUGAUUGGAGGCCCGAACCCACGCACGUUGAAAAGUGCGGGGUUGAGGUGUGGGUAGCGGAGAAAUUCCAAUCGCACCUGGAGAUAGCUGGUUCUCCCCGAUAUAGCUUUAGGGCUAGCCUUAUGUGUUAGAGUGUUGGUGGUAGAGCACU
This 247-nucleotide ribosomal RNA is filed under the name Bacillus paranthracis. Its description in RNAcentral is "partial 23S ribosomal RNA". It matches the Rfam family "Bacterial large subunit ribosomal RNA", at positions 666 to 911 of the family's 2925-position model. Lineage: Bacteria; Bacillati; Bacillota; Bacilli; Caryophanales; Bacillaceae. The record is from RNAcentral.